Long non-coding RNA from Sander lucioperca (pikeperch), 125 nucleotides. RefSeq lists it as uncharacterized. The transcript has 3 exons. The record is from RefSeq and is a predicted model, not a curated record. Lineage: Eukaryota; Metazoa; Chordata; Actinopteri; Perciformes; Percidae.
GAGGAGGGGGCAUGGCGUACAGUCAGACAGGUGUUUUGGGUCCGUUUGGGGGCGGAGCUUCUUCCUUGGAUUAUACAGGAACCAUCGACGCGUCCAGUCACGACUUCCUGCUCGGCCUGAUGGGU